GAGUUUGAUCCUGGCUCAGGACGAACGCUGGCGGCGGGCCUAACACAUGCAAGUCUAAGGAGAAUUUCGGAGUAAUCUGAAAGGACACUGGCGCACGGGUGAGUAACGCGUAGGUAACCUACCUUCUGCUGGGGGAUAACAUCGGGAAACCGGUGCUAAUACCGCAUAAUGCAGCGGUCACGCAUGUGACAGUUGUUAAAGAAUUUCGGCAGAAGAUGGGCCUGCGUGUCAUUAGUUAGUUGGUAAGGUAACGGCUUACCAAGACGAUGAUGACUAGGGGGUCUGAGAGGAUGAUCCCCCACACUGGAACUGAGACACGGUCCAGACUCCUACGGGAGGCAGCAGUGGGGAAUCUUGCGCAAUGGGGGAAACCCUGACGCAGCCACGCCGCGUGCCAGAUGAAGGCCCUACGGGUCGUAAAUGGCUUUUGGUCGGGAAGAUAAGCCGGGUUUCGACCUGGUGUGACGGUACCGACUGAAUAAGCACCGGCUAACUCCGUGCCAGCAGCCGCGGUAAUACGGAGGGUGCAAGCGUUGUCCGGAAUCAUUGGGUGUAAAGGGUGCGUAGGCGGAUGUCUAAGUCUGGGGUGAAAUCUUGCAGCUUAACUGUAAAAUUGCCUUGGAUACUGGGUGUCUUGAGUACAGAAGAGGAUGGUGGAAUUCGUAGUGUAGCGGUGAAAUGCAUAGAUAUUACGAAGAACACCGGUGGCGAAAGCGGCCAUCUGGUCUGUUACUGACGCUGAGGCACGAAAGCGUGGGGAGCGAACAGGAUUAGAUACCCUGGUAGUCCACGCCGUAAACGAUGUGUGCUAGUUGUUGGCCUGUAUGGGCCAGUGACGUAGUUAACGCGCUAAGCACACCACCUGGGGGAGUACGUUCGCAAGAAUGAAACUCAAAGGGAAUUUGACNGGGGCCCGCACAAGCGGGUGGGAGCAUGUGGCUUAAUUCGAUGCAACGCGAAGAACCUUUACCUGGGCUAAAUCAUAGUGGAAAUAGCUAGAAAAUAGUUAUGCCCUUUCGGGG
Molecule: ribosomal RNA, 1022 nt
Filed under: uncultured bacterium
Lineage: Bacteria
Description: bacterial SSU rRNA
Rfam family: Bacterial small subunit ribosomal RNA
Source: RNAcentral